RNAcentral lists this ribosomal RNA (510 nucleotides) under uncultured bacterium. RNAcentral describes it as "partial 16S ribosomal RNA". It matches the Rfam family "Bacterial small subunit ribosomal RNA", at positions 28 to 507 of the family's 1533-position model. The record is from RNAcentral.
GACGAACGCUGGCGGCGUGCUUAACACAUGCAAGUCGAACGAAGAGCGACGGAAGCUUGCUUCUCCCAAUCUUAGUGGCGAACGGGUGAGUAACGCGUAAUCAACCUGCCCUUCAGAGGGGGACAACAGUUGGAAACGACUGCUAAUACCGCAUACGAUCUAGUCUCGGCAUCGAGGAUGGAUGAAAGGUGGCCUCUACAUGUAAGCUAUCACUGAAGGAGGGGAUUGCGUCUGAUUAGCUAGUUGGAGGGGUAACGGCCCACCAAGGCGAUGCUCAGUAGCCGGUCUGAGAGGAUGAACGGCCACAUUGGGACUGAGACACGGCCCAGACUCCUACGGGAGGCAGCAGUGGGGAAUCUUCCGCAAGGGACGAAAGUCUGACGGAGCAACGCCGCGUGAGAGAUGACGGCCUUCGGGUUGUAAAGCUCGGUUAAUCGGGACGAAAGGCCUUCUUGCGAAUAGUGAGAAGGAUUGACGGUACCGGAAUAGAAAGCCACGGCUAACUACGUG